Lepisosteus oculatus (spotted gar) is the source of this 1350-nucleotide long non-coding RNA. RefSeq lists it as uncharacterized. NCBI's taxonomy places the organism in Eukaryota, Metazoa, Chordata, Actinopteri, Semionotiformes, Lepisosteidae. The record is from RefSeq and is a predicted model, not a curated record.
UUUUCUUCUUUUUUUCAGCAUGGAAUAAACCUAUUACUUGAUCCUAAAGAGAGCUCUAUGCAAUCGUGUAUCCUCCUCCCCCCCGACUCCACACCCUCACACGUGUCGUGCAUCAGCACACCAACGAUCGUUUCUGCUCUUUCAUUACAAGCGAAUAAAGCAAAUAAGUGCCACGUUUGCUGCCGUUUUCCAGAGGUAAUCUGUUUUGAUGCUAUGAAUAGGACGGUUCUUUCCUCUAGUCCUGUUGAGACUAGAGACUGGAGGCCCGGCCAGCAGGAGGCGGCGAGUCACGGUCUUCCAAAUUUGAGAUCAUCGCGAAAAGUUUCGCUUUUUCUCGUGAAGUCUUUCAAAAGCUACCAAGUGUACGAGUGUUUUUCGGUUCAAAAAUGUUUUCUUAAGAGCCAGGUAAGGGGUUUCUUCUCUCCCCGGGAGGAUAAUACAAUUUUCACAGCGAGUUAACACAACACGGCUGGAUGCCUACCUUAGCUCGUAACCUGACCGAAAUUUCAACCCAGUCCCUGCUGAACCCGAGCUGUCUGCGCCUUUGUGGUCAGCAGAAUUAAAGGGCUGUACAAGUGAAGAAAAAACACGGAUUCGUGGGUUAAAAAGACAGGGUUUACACGCGAGACCUGUUCAAUUCCCUCAUAACCGCAAAAUAACGACGUCCCAUCGAAAGACAUAAAAGCUGUUUUUAAACUGCGCUUUUCGGUUUCUCGGAUUUUUUUAAGAAGCCAUUUAAAGCCAAGACGUGCUCCAGAGAGAACCCUGCUUUAACACAAACACGGGUUUUGGUUAUUGCACGUCUGAAAGAACAGGCUGGAAUCGAACCGAACAACUGUGCAGCCAAAACAGCUGCACUAUACCGGAUUUCUCAAUUCGUACAACUAUGAAAGCUGCUGGUUCUGUUUUAAUGCAUUGUUUCUCUCUACAGACUCGAAGUCACAGGCGAAAGUACAACACGCCUACUAGCUCCAGUAAAUUGUUACAGGUCUGAGUCCAGACUGAAGAGGUGAGGGAUCUGAUUUGACGGCAUCGACUAGUCAGCUGGAGAUGAAGUAGCUGCAUUUCCUGUGCAGAAGAGCGGUUUCUAUUGAACAGUGAGAAGAAGGAUGUGACAGAUGGGUAGACUUGAAGAUAUCCUCUCUUGUGGAAACAUCCUGUACUUUGGGCCCCUUGGACAGAGGAAAGUGUCAGGACUGCCGGCUGGUGGAAGAGUACAAAAUACAGGGUUGGACUUUGGAGAAUUCUGUGGCCAGCCUCAGGAAUUGACACUGAUUUCAGCUGGCUGGUGUUUGUGUUGAGAUCAUCCUUUUCACUUUUACUACUGUUUGUCAUACAAUAAAACAAUAU